UGGAAUCUUUGAGGCAAAUGAGGUAUUGUAUCGGGGUCUCAUUUUCGACUUACCCUUGUUGCUUUCUCAAGUUCUGUAAUAUACGUCAUGGAUUUUGUGUAAAUGAAACCUUUACUUUAAGAUUCAGUGACUUCUGGUUUCAACCUUGUGUUACAUCUUAUGUUCAAAAAAGAUCUUGUAGGUUUUUUCUUGCCAGUUGCUGAUUUUCUUUUAAACUUAAACAAAAAAGUUAAGUGACAGGUUGAGCAAGUGAGAGAUUAUUGAUCAAGAAUUGGCUUUCAGGUUAAGGUUGGUUGCUGCACCGUGGAUGUUCUCAAGCAAAUCAGCGGAGAAGAGAUAUCACGAACUGCAGCAGAUGGAAAACCAAUUGAUCGUAUGAGUAGACUUGCAAACCAUAUCCUCAACCAACAAAGCUUCUAUCCACUUUACCCACCCGCAGAAAGUGUCCCCUUGGACUUUUCGCUUGCUCCAGAAGCCCUUAAGCUUUCAUUGGUUCCGGACGUACUUAUCCUACCUUCAGACAUCAAG
RNAcentral lists this small RNA (528 nucleotides) under Vigna angularis var. angularis. RNAcentral describes it as "Non-protein coding transcript". Lineage: Eukaryota; Viridiplantae; Streptophyta; Magnoliopsida; Fabales; Fabaceae. The record is from RNAcentral.